RNAcentral lists this long non-coding RNA (768 nucleotides) under Equus caballus (horse). Its description in RNAcentral is "lncRNA (ENSECAG00000051663.1)". The record is from RNAcentral. Lineage: Eukaryota; Metazoa; Chordata; Mammalia; Perissodactyla; Equidae.
GUCAGCCUCUCUGUGCAGGGGAAUGUAUUGUCGGAGAAAGCAUCAUCUUGCUCUAUAAAAUCAUUUGUCGUCAACUUUAUUUCAGAGCCUUUAUCGUAAAGCUGUUGUAGCUUUGAACGGCAGCCCCCCGGUUCCAGUGUUCGGGGGUUAUUUGGACUGCCUGGACCUCCAGGAGGACCCUUGGCUUCUGCUUGAAAUGCUCUUUAAUCUUCUGUUCAAAAGGCGUCUCCUCUGGAAAGUCUUCCCUGGUGCUUUGGGUAGAAUUAAGAUGUGAAGAAAAUUAGGGUACAAAAUUAAAGCUUGAAAAAGAAAGGCGUUUUUGGAGAGACUCGCCAUUAGUGAGAUGUUCGUGAUGUUGCAGGGGUGCGGGCACAGAGAAAGAAGACUGUGAAAUCAAAUUUGCAUGGAUGCUGAUGCUGCUGGUCCAGGGACCACACUUCGAGAAACUGCAUCCAAAGAUUCUGAGCACUGGGUUUUUAAAAAUUUCCCUGAUGAACUGACGAUUGGAUAAAGAAGAUGUGGUAUAUAUAUACAAUGGAAUACUACUCAACCAUAAAGAAGGACAAAGUUGUCCCAUUCACAACAACAUGGAUAGACCUUGAGGGUAUUAUGUUGAGUGAAAUAAACCAGACAGAGAAAGACGAACUCUGUAUGACUCCACUCGUAGGUGGUAGUUAACAUAUGGACAAAGAGAACUGAUUGGUGGUUGCCAGGGGAAAGGGGGGUGGGGGGAGGGCACUAGGGGUGAAGUGGUAUACCUACAACAUG